This 496-nucleotide ribosomal RNA is filed under the name uncultured bacterium. Its description in RNAcentral is "partial 16S ribosomal RNA". It matches the Rfam family "Bacterial small subunit ribosomal RNA", at positions 28 to 507 of the family's 1533-position model. The record is from RNAcentral.
GAUGAACGCUGGCGGCGUGCCUAAUACAUGCCAGUCGAGCGAACAGACGAGGAGCUUGCUCCUCUGACGUUAGCGGCGGACGGGUGAGUAACACGUGGAUAACCUACCUAUAAGACUGGGAUAACUUCGGGAAACCGGAGCUAAUACCGGAUAAUAUAUUGAACCGCAUGGUUCAAUAGUGAAAGACGGUUUUGCUGUCACUUAUAGAUGGAUCCGCGCCGCAUUAGCUAGUUGGUAAGGUAACGGCUUACCAAGGCAACGAUGCGUAGCCGACCUGAGAGGGUGAUCGGCCACACGGGAAGUGAGACACGGACCAAAACCGUAAGGGAGGCAGCAGUAGGAAAUCUUCCGCAGGGGGCAAAAGGUAAACGGGGAAACGCCGCGUGAGUGAUAACGGUCUUCGGAUCGUAAACCUUGGUUAUCAGGGAAAAACAAAGUUUUAUUUAACGGGGCACUUCUUGACGGUACCGAAGAAGAAGGCCCGGCUAAACUAGGG